This is a long non-coding RNA of Dreissena polymorpha, 1483 nucleotides long. RefSeq lists it as uncharacterized. NCBI's taxonomy places the organism in Eukaryota, Metazoa, Mollusca, Bivalvia, Myida, Dreissenidae. The record is from RefSeq and is a predicted model, not a curated record. The transcript has 3 exons.
GAUGUGUGGGGGUACGUGAAGAAAUCCCUACCUGUCCAGUAUGGUUACCACUAACCAAGUUCGAAUGCACCGGAAUUGAUGUUGAACAAAGGUCGCCCAUAUGUGUGGGGGUACGUGAAGAAAUCCCUACCUGUCCAGUAUGGUUACCACUAACCAAGUUCGAAUGCACCGGAAUGGAUGUUGAACAAAGGUCGCCCAUAUGUGUGGGGGAACGUGAAGAAAUCCCUACCUGUCCAGUAUGGUUACCACUAACCAAGUUCGAAUGCACCGGAAUGGAUGUUGAACAAAGGUCGCCCAUGUGAGCAAGUCUUUGUAUACCGGUAUUUCCUGAAACCAAAACGUAUUUGUUGCUAUUCAAAAAUAAUGUAUAAGAUAACCGCCGUUCAGCCCCCGUUCCUAUGUGUCGUUGAUUAAUGUACAUUCAACAAAAUUAAGAUUGCCGGUAUUAAUGUACCCUUUUCAUACAAUUAUUACAGGAUUUGUCAACGCGCAUUCCUGUUCAUAAAUAUAAGAGUAAAGCGUUUAUUUAUCAGAAUGUCUCUUGAUGUAUAUUCACCAAACAUGAGAUUGCUUGUAUUACAUAAAUAUACCCGUUUCAUUAAUUAGCGUAUAGCAGGCAUUGUCAAAGCGCAUUCUUGUUCAUGUUUAUAAGAAUAGAGCGUUUGUUUAUUAGAAUGUCUCUUGAUUAUGGGCCAGCAAGUUUUGACACAUGCUGGGCGCUUGGCAAUAAGGCAAUCGCUACCCCUCAAUUCAACUAUAUGUUGUGGUGGCAACCUGCCAUGUCAGACCGUUCAUCGUGUUGAGCUCGAACAUUCGACCUCAUACUUCUUAUGCAAAUUCCCUAAAUAUGGGAUCACGGAGAUCGUAUUUUGUGGCAAAUCAAUAUUUGGAAGUUGGUUGUACAUUGUAGUGGGGACGUACAAUUAACAUGGUACGGAAUACCGAUAGGGACAUCGUAGUUACACAUUAAAAUCCAGAGGGCGACAAUGCGAUAGUGCGACAGUGCGAUGGCGACAAUGCGAUAAUACGAUGACGACAGUACGAUAACCGUUAACGCAAUAGUACGAUGGCGACAAUACGAUAAUACGAUGACGACAGUGCGACAAUACGAUGGCGACAGUGCGAUAGUACGAUGGCGACAAUUGGAUAGUACGAUAAUACGAUGACAACAGUGCGACAAUACGAUUGCGACAGUGCGAUACUACGAUAGCAACAAUGCGACAAUGCGAUAGUACGAUGGCGACAUGCAAUGCGAUAAUACGAUGACGACAGUGCGACAACACAAUGCGUUUAUACGAUGACGACAGUACGAUAAAUCGAUAGUACGAUGGGGACCAUGCCAUCGUACUAUCGCACUGUCGCCAUCGCAUUGUCGCAUUGUCGUCAUCGUACAAUCGCUUUGUCGCAAUCGAACUAUCGUAUUGUCGCCAUCGUAGUAUUUCAUUGUCGCCAUCGUACUAUCGUACUAUCGCAUUGUCGCUCU